Lagopus leucura (white-tailed ptarmigan) is the source of this 1176-nucleotide long non-coding RNA. RefSeq lists it as uncharacterized. The record is from RefSeq and is a predicted model, not a curated record. Lineage: Eukaryota; Metazoa; Chordata; Aves; Galliformes; Phasianidae. The transcript is spliced from 2 exons.
GUUGUUUUCCUUUGUUUUGUGGUUGUUUUGGUCGUUUUGUUUUCCUUUUCCUUCCUUCCUUCACAGAGGAGGGGAGCAGUUCUCGGAAGCACAAACCAGCCGCGAGCGCCGGUAGAGGCAGCGUUGGGGCUGAGACAGCUCUUCCAGGCACUGCCCCAUCCGCACACCGACCUUGGGGCUGACACGGGGCUCCGCUGGCUCAGCUCGCUCAGCUGCCCCGAUCAAUGUCACGGCUGUCAGAGGGCCGCGGUUACACUUUCCCCUGCUGACAGCUCAUACAGAGCUAUCUUUCUCCCUUCUCCACCCGGACCUGCUAUCAAACCCAAGAAAACUAGACAACCGAAAGAAAUAGCAGAGUCGUCUGCAUUGCUCGGGGCAGCUCCUGCACUGUCCUGCCCAGGAGCGUCGCAGAGGAGCAGUUCUGGGGCGCUGUUAUGCCCAUGAUGACACGGUGCUGACACGGUGCUGGUACAGCCUUUAGCACCCAGCUCUCCACCUGUCACACAACGAAUGGCUUUGAUGCACAGCUCCAACACGGGGAAAUGGCGCCGAGCCCCUCGGUGACGUGAUGGGGAGCAGGAGCAGAAAUCUUUCGUUGUGGGACUUCGGGAUGGCUGUGCCACACUUCCAGCCACAACCAAACCCUGCACAGCACUGCCACAGCCACGUAUGGGCACGGAGCCACGUGCAGAGCUGCAGGCAGCGAGUGUGCUCUGCGAUGGCCGGGCACAAACACACCGUGAGCCAAAGACCCACCAAAGUGCCCUCCCAGCAGAGCAGAAGCAAAAUCUCUCCCCACUCCCAUGGAACCAAGUAGGCUGGAGCUGGAUGUGCAGCAGAGUGCGCCCACUGAACGCUGAAGAAAAUCACACUGAUGAGAAAUGCUUAAAGUAAAGUUCCCAAACUGAACACCCAGGUGUCUGAAGUCCCACAGAUGGUCCCUGCAGGGUGGGCUCGGUGGUGCCAAGCUGGGCACCAAGCAGUGCCUGAUGUCCACGGUCCCAGGCAGCCUCCGUGGCCAUCACCAGACCAGGGCAUGGCCAGCAGCUAUGGGGAGCUUCACCUGCAGAAGGCAAUGGGAACUGGGGAUCCUAGGCACAGCACACACAGAAGGUGAAACUGAUUUACUACCUUGGGAUGGAAUAAUGUUUUUAGAAUAAAAUUAUGCUACAUGGA